GUGCUUGCACCUUAUCUUAGCGGCGGACGGGUGAGUAAUGCUUAGGAAUCUGCCAUUUAGUGGGGGACAACAUUCCGAAAGGAAUGCUAAUACCGCAUACGUCCUACGGGAGAAAGCAGGGGAUCUUCGGACCUUGCGCUAAAUGAUGAGCCUAAGUCGGAUUAGCUAGUUGGUGGGGUAAAGGCCUACCAAGGCGACGAUCUGUAGCGGGUCUGAGAGGAUGAUCCGCCACACUGGGACUGAGACACGGCCCAGACUCCUACGGGAGGCAGCAGUGGGGAAUAUUGGACAAUGGGCGGAAGCCUGAUCCAGCCAUGCCGCGUGUGUGAAGAAGGCCUUUUGGUUGUAAAGCACUUUAAGCGAGGAGGAGGCUACCUGGAUUAAUACUCUGGGAUAGUGGACGUUACUCGCAGAAUAAGCACCGGCUAACUCUGUGCCAGCAGCCGCGGUAAUACAGAGGGUGCGAGCGUUAAUCGGAUUUACUGGGCGUAAAGCGUGCGUAGGCGGCUGAUUAAGUCGGAUGUGAAAUCCCUGAGCUUAACUUAGGAAUUGCAUUCGAUACUGGUCAGCUAGAGUAUGGGAGAGGAUGGUAGAAUUCCAGGUGUAGCGGUGAAAUGCGUAGAGAUCUGGAGGAAUACCGAUGGCGAAGGCAGCCAUCUGGCCUAAUACUGACGCUGAGGUACGAAAGCAUGGGGAGCAAACAGGAUUAGAUACCCUGGUAGUCCAUGCCGUAAACGAUGUCUACUAGCCGUUGGGGCCUUUGAGGCUUUAGUGGCGCAGCUAACGCGAUAAGUAGACCGCCUGGGGAGUACGGUCGCAAGACUAAAACUCAAAUGAAUUGACGGGGGCCCGCACAAGCGGUGGAGCAUGUGGUUUAAUUCGAUGCAACGCGAAGAACCUUACCUGGCCUUGACAUACUAGAAACUUUCCAGAGAUGGAUUGGUGCCUUCGGGAAUCUAGAUACAGGUGCU
RNAcentral lists this ribosomal RNA (971 nucleotides) under Acinetobacter sp. SG9. RNAcentral's name for it is "bacterial SSU rRNA". It matches the Rfam family "Bacterial small subunit ribosomal RNA", at positions 76 to 1042 of the family's 1533-position model. Lineage: Bacteria; Pseudomonadati; Pseudomonadota; Gammaproteobacteria; Moraxellales; Moraxellaceae. The record is from RNAcentral.